Molecule: long non-coding RNA, 421 nt
Organism: Acomys russatus (golden spiny mouse)
Lineage: Eukaryota; Metazoa; Chordata; Mammalia; Rodentia; Muridae
Exons: 4
Source: RefSeq, a predicted model, not a curated record
UGCUGUGUUGCGCGGCAAAGCCCACAGCAUCUGCCAUUUGUCACUCAGUUGGGGCGGGGACCGCCCCAAGCCUUGAUUUAGACGCGACUGGGGCGUUCCGCAGCCUCACUCGCCUGGCAGGCGGGAGAACGCUCGCUCGGGGAGGCGCGGCCGCGGGCACCCAGCUCGCGGCGGCAAACGGAGCGGAGAGCGGGCACCUCCUGCUCGCCGUCAUGGCUGCGUAGGCUGCACCCACGGACCGCCUCGCCUGAGUCCGGCUCGGGGUGCUCCUGCCUGACUCGUACACACUGUCAUUGGCUUUUGCAUUUGCAUAGGAAUCAGAGGACUUAAUCUCGUCUCUUGUUGCAGGUUUGAGUCUUCAGACAGACUUCUAGAGGACUUCACAGCUGCCGCACUGCUGACUUUCCUGGUCACACAGAAG